CUGAGGUAGCCAACACUGUUUUUAUUUAUAUAUAUAUAUAUAUAUAUAUAUAUAUAUAUAUUUAUUUAUUUAUUUUUUUAAUUGGGGGUAGCCCCCAAAAUAUUGGGGCAUAUAAAAAAAGACAACUCUGUUGACAUUAUAGUUGCGCAGGAACUUGGUUGACUCUAGAGAACCUUGGGCAAAUCGCACAUCCUCGUGGCGGUGACUUUGCAUGUGGAUGUCAUCAAUAUCAACUUUCGAUGCCAAGUUCUGCUCCUACCAUGGUUACCACGGGUAACGGGGAAUCAGGUUUCUAUUCCGUACAAGGACCCUGAGAAACGGCUACCACAUGCAAGGAAGGCAGCAGGCGCGCAAAUGACCUACUCCCGACGCGGGAAGUUAGUGAAG
Pelobates cultripes (western spadefoot toad) is the source of this 387-nucleotide non-coding RNA. The record is from the annotation of a GenBank genome assembly. Lineage: Eukaryota; Metazoa; Chordata; Amphibia; Anura; Pelobatidae.